Molecule: RNA transcript, 2426 nt
Organism: Danio rerio (zebrafish)
Lineage: Eukaryota; Metazoa; Chordata; Actinopteri; Cypriniformes; Danionidae
Gene: htatip2
Gene name: HIV-1 Tat interactive protein 2
Source: RefSeq, marked validated
CUCGCUUCAUGCUCUGGACGCGUUCUGCGCACGCGCCGUCCGAAGCUAGAUUGUAACAGGAAGAAGCUGCAGAUCAAAAACCAAAGUCCUGUGUUUAUCUAGUUUGGACUGAAUGUAUUUCAGGGCACCUGUGAAAAAACUCUAGGCUUCUUCACUGUUUUUGUAGUGGUGCUCGCCGCUGUUUUCUAUUACCUGGAGAAUUCAGAGACUUACGAGAUACCAAGAAUGGAUCUGAAUGCAAUGGAAGAGAAUUACCGGCAGAAGAACAAAACAUGCUUCAUUCUCGGUGGCUCUGGUGAAACUGGAAAAGCUUUGCUAAAAGAACUAGUGGAGAGAAACAUCUUCUCCAGGAUCACUCUCAUUGGACGAAGGCAGUUAACCUUUGAGGACAAAGCCUAUGAAAAUCUGGUUAUGAAUCAAGUUUCAAAAUAUUAUGUCUAUGUGAUCCAAAUAAAAAGAAAACCUCCGCAAAAACGUUGCUUAUCCCUACAAAAAAAUAAAAACAAAUAAAUAAAAAUAAAAUAAUUAACAAAUUUGUCAAUAACAAAUGUUAACAUUUUAACCCAUACCUAAUAAAUACAGUAAAUCCAGAGGAUUGAUUGCUAGAUAAACAUUUUUUUUUUACGUUUUCAAUUUUGGAAACUUUUAUUUGUGAGAAAAAUCUGGGUUAUUUCCAGCCUGAUCUCAUGAGAAAACGUAAAUAUUUUAUGUUUGAUAGUUUAGUGGCUAAUUAGUACGAAUUCGUGAUGAAAUGAAAUUGUACAAUUUUUAAAAGGAGGUGUGGCACUCAACUCCGCCCCUAAACCCAAUCUUCAGUGGGGGAUGAGCAAAUCGUACUAAAUUGUAUGAAUUAGUUUGUGCAAAUUUAUUUGAAAUAGCCACUAAAAAUUACGAAUUGCUGUGAGAUUGCCUUGGUUUUUCCACUUAAUGUUGAUUUCUAAACUCUUUUCAAGUGAAAACAUUGGUAAUGUUUAAAUGGGUUUAUAAAUUAAUUUAUAAUGCAAUCUUUUUUGUAAUUUUUAUUCCAAAAAGUCUAUAUACAGGGUGUCUGCUGGGUCUUAAGUCUUAAAAUCUCUUAAAUUUCCAAAACUACAUUCUAGGCCUUAAAAAGUCUUAGAUUCACAGAAAUAUUGGGCUGUAGGUCUUAAAUAAUUUUAAAUGGGUCUUAAUUUUGCUUUUUCCAAAUAAAGUUACUCAAUCGGGCCGACAUCCAUCCAAUUACCAACAAUGCAUCACAAUAAAACCUUUUUUGUUUGUUUAUAUAAAUGAAAGUUUUUAUUAUCACAAAGAGAUUCACAACAACUGUUAGACAUCUCUACAGCAAAAUCUCCAAACUAAAUUCCCUAAUGAGGGAAAGAAAAACUAAAAACAAUUACCUGAUUCCUCAUAAUAAUACCAGGCCAUUAGAAAAAAAUAUUUAGUGUUUAAUGCUAUAAGUCUAAAAUUUCAUUCUUAAUGAUUUUAAAAGGUCUUAAAUUUAAGUUGAUGAAACCUGCAGAAUAGUUUAUAUAAAAACCUGUUUAUAAAAAAAACAAGGCAAUGAAAUGCUGUAUGCACAGUGCAAAAUGUUAUCAACGAUUUAGUGUUGAUUUAUCAGUGAUUCAUCAUUUGCCUUUAUUGUUCCCAGGUUCAAAAGGUGGUUGAUUUUGAGAAGCUGGAUGAGUAUGCAGAGGCGUUUCAGGGCCAUGAUGUUGGAUACUGCUGCCUAGGAACAACCAGAGCCAAAGCAGGAGCUGAAGGAUUUGUGCGUGUGGAUCAUGACUACGUACUCAAGUCUGCAGAGCUUGCCAAAGCAGGAGGUUGCUCACAUUUCCAUCUCGAAUCUUCCAAAGGUGCAGAUAAAACCAGCAGCUUUCUCUACCUGAAAACAAAGGGACAGGUUGAAGCAGAAAUUGAAGAGCUUGGGUUUGAGCGGUUAUCCGUCUAUCGACCUGCGGUGCUGUUAGUGGACAGACAGGAGAGCCGGCCUUCAGAGUGGAUGGCCAGAAAGUUCUUUGGUGCUUUCUCCACUGUCUUCCCCACGGCAAUGUCUAUUCCUAUUACAUCUGUGGUCAGAGCAAUGGCUGUCAACACACUAAAAGAUGGAGAGCAGAAAGUGGAAAUUCUCGAAAACAAAGCCAUACACACUCUCGGGAAAGUUGGAGAAAAGAAAUAAGACUUGUGAUUGUGGCUUGUUUAAAUAUAAGUGCAAUUCUAGCAUGAUGCAGUUUUUUGUUUUAAGCAAAGCAAGCCAAAUGUUGUUUUACUGACAUUUUGAGUUAUUAUCAUAUAAACUGUUUUUUUAAAAAGCUUUUAAAAAUACUCAUUUGCACUAUAAAUACGGGUGACGUGUGCUGUGUUUUAAUAUAAUUCGCUUUGUAUUCUUCUGCCUUUUUUGUUAUUUAAUUGUAAACUCGUUCAUAAAAAUAAACAAAUCUUAAUAUUGA